RNAcentral lists this transfer RNA (66 nucleotides) under Patelloida saccharinoides. Its description in RNAcentral is "tRNA-Phe". Lineage: Eukaryota; Metazoa; Mollusca; Gastropoda; Lottiidae. The record is from RNAcentral.
UAGAAGGUGGCCGAGAAUAGGCGACAGGCUGAAGUUCUGUUGACGGUGAAAAAGCACCCUUUCUGG